Bos taurus (domestic cattle) is the source of this 313-nucleotide long non-coding RNA. The record is from Ensembl. NCBI's taxonomy places the organism in Eukaryota, Metazoa, Chordata, Mammalia, Artiodactyla, Bovidae.
GCUGGAGAAUCAAGUCCUUCCUUACAGGAGGACAUUGUUAUUAGGGGAAAGAUUCAAAUUAGAAAGACCGUACUGCACUCAAUAUGCCAGCAAAUUUGGAAAACUCAGCAGUGGCCACAGGACUGGAAAAGUUCACUUCAGUCGCUCAGUCGUCUCCAAUUCUGCGACCCCAUGGACUGCAGCACACCAGGCUCCCCCGUCUGUCACCAACUCCCGGUGCCUACUCAAACUCAAGUCCAUCCCGUCAGUGAUGCCAUCCAACCAUAACCCUCCCUGUUACAUUUUGCAAUUGUCACUUCUUUCUGUUUCUUUG